This 506-nucleotide ribosomal RNA is filed under the name uncultured bacterium. RNAcentral describes it as "partial 16S ribosomal RNA". It matches the Rfam family "Bacterial small subunit ribosomal RNA", at positions 28 to 523 of the family's 1533-position model. The record is from RNAcentral.
GAUGAACGCUAGCUACAGGCUUAACACAUGCAAGUCGAGGGGUAACGAGAGGAAAGCUUGCUUUCCUUGCCGACGACCGGCGCACGGGUGAGUAACGCGUAUCCAACCUGCCCCCAACUAAGGAAUAACCUUGCGAAAGUAAGACUAAUACCUUAUAAUUUCCUCAGAUGUCAUCUGACGAGGAAUAAAGAUUUAUCGGUUGUGGAUGGGGAUGCGUCUGAUUAGCUUGUUGGCGGGGUAACGGCCCACCAAGGCAACGAUCAGUAGGGGUUCUGAGAGGAAGGUCCCCCACAAUGGAACUGAGACACGGUCCAAACUCCUACGGGAGGCAGCAGUGAGGAAUAUUGGUCAAUGGGCGAAAGCCUGAACCAGCCAAGUAGCGUGCAGGAUGACGGCCCUAUGGGUUGUAAACUGCUUUUAUACAGGAAUAAAGUUAGCCACGUGUGGUUAUUUGUAGGUACUGUAUGAAUAAGGACCGGCUAAUUCCGUGCCAGCCGCCGCGGUAA